UGAUGAUGAUGACGAUGCAAGACGUUUCCUUCAGAAUGUAGCAAGCAGCCAAUGCCUGCUGAAAGCGAUGACGACGAUUGUAAAUCGUGUGAAGACAAGCGAGACGAUAGGGUUAUUCUCCUAGCGAGCAGAGCUAAGGAAGCCCAAGCGAUAGUAACAUCAUGAUGACGGAAUCCAGGCAGACCAAUAGGAGCGCAGCGCAGGCGAUUGUCUCCGAGCUCGUCUGCUUCGCGUUCACUCAGCAAAAAGUCCUCGAAGCCGAUCACAGACUCUUCGCGAACUGCAGACGCGCUGCCAUCUGCCUUCCCACCGCUCGCCGAAAGCCAUCUGGGCGCCCCCUGGUUGGACUUGUCUUAAAGAAGUAAAGAAGAGUGACUAAUUGGACCGGCUACUCCUGUACGCUUAUGGUAGCGAGGAGUGUCUACCAAGGAGUCUAAAAGGAUGUUUGGAAUACAGAAGACCUAAGGAAGGAGAUCACAGAGCGUGCACCAUGUGGAUGUGCUGCUGGCCAGUCGCCGAGUACCUCCUUGAGGUCAGGAGGGCCGUUGUUGUUGAGUUGUAUUGCAGUUCCAUUCUCCCACAAAUCACAAACGACGCAACAGCUGAAUCCAGUUCCUUUUGUAUUGCAGUAGAGGUA
Molecule: long non-coding RNA, 637 nt
Organism: Ornithodoros turicata
Lineage: Eukaryota; Metazoa; Arthropoda; Arachnida; Ixodida; Argasidae
Exons: 4
Source: RefSeq, a predicted model, not a curated record